GAUGAACGCUGGCGGCGUGCCUAAUACAUGCAAGUCGAGCGAACAGACGAGGAGCUUGCUCCUCUGACGUUAGCGGCGGACGGGUGAGUAACACGUGGAUAACCUACCUAUAAGACUGGGAUAACUUCGGGAAACCGGAGCUAAUACCGGAUAAUAUAUUGAACCGCAUGGUUCAAUAGUGAAAGACGGUUUUGCUGUCACUUAUAGAUGGAUCCGCGCCGCAUUAGCUAGUUGGUAAGGUAACGGCUUACCAAGGCAACGAUGCGUAGCCGACCUGAGAGGGUGAUCGGCCACACUGGAACUGAGACACGGUCCAGACUCCUACGGGAGGCAGCAGUAGGGAAUCUACCGCAAUGGGCGAAAGCCUGACGGAGCAACGCCGCGUGAGUGAUGAAGGUCUUUGGAUCGUAAAACUCUGUUAUUAGGGAAGAACAAAUGUGUAAGUAACUAUGCACGUCUUGACGGUACCUAAUCAGAAAGCCACGGCUAACUACGUG
RNAcentral lists this ribosomal RNA (497 nucleotides) under uncultured bacterium. RNAcentral describes it as "partial 16S ribosomal RNA". It matches the Rfam family "Bacterial small subunit ribosomal RNA", at positions 28 to 507 of the family's 1533-position model. The record is from RNAcentral.